CAGUCGCCGCGGUAAUACGUAGGUGGCAAGCGUUGUCCGGGAUUAUUGGGCGUAAAGGGCUCGCAGGCGGUUUCUUAAGUCUGAUGUGAAAGCCCCCGGCUCAACCGGGGAGGGUCAUUGGAAACUGGGAAACUUGAGUGCAGAAGAGGAGAGUGGAAUUCCACGUGUAGCGGUGAAAUGCGUAGAGAUGUGGAGGAACACCAGUGGCGAAGGCGACUCUCUGGUCUGUAACUGACGCUGAGGAGCGAAAGCGUGGGGAGCGAACAGGAUUAGAUACCCCCGUAGUCCCUGUCUCUUAUAC
This 301-nucleotide ribosomal RNA is filed under the name uncultured bacterium. Its description in RNAcentral is "partial 16S ribosomal RNA". It matches the Rfam family "Bacterial small subunit ribosomal RNA", at positions 509 to 807 of the family's 1533-position model. The record is from RNAcentral.